Molecule: transfer RNA, 74 nt
Filed under: Coleochaete orbicularis
Lineage: Eukaryota; Viridiplantae; Streptophyta; Coleochaetophyceae; Coleochaetales; Coleochaetaceae
Also listed under: 1 other name
Description: tRNA-Arg
Rfam family: tRNA
About the family: Transfer RNA (tRNA) molecules are approximately 80 nucleotides in length. Their secondary structure includes four short double-helical elements and three loops (D, anti-codon, and T loops).
Source: RNAcentral
AUGCCUGUAGCUCAAUUGGAUAGAGCGCCAAACUUCGGAUUUGGAAGUUGAAAGUUCAAAUCUUUCCAGGCAUA